This is a long non-coding RNA of Oncorhynchus tshawytscha (Chinook salmon), 878 nucleotides long. The record is from Ensembl. NCBI's taxonomy places the organism in Eukaryota, Metazoa, Chordata, Actinopteri, Salmoniformes, Salmonidae.
GCUUAAUAGGCUGUGAACGAUGCUGAAUGGGUGUAGACAAAGAGAAGCUUUUCAAUAGGGAUGGAACGUAAAGUCGCAGAAAAUAGAGGUUGUGAUGGCAGUUGCCGAGAAGUAUUUGGGUGUACAAGAUUUGAGGUCAGAAGAGUUACAGGCUGUGUUGAGUGGUGGUGUCCCGUCCUUCCAGGCUGUUGGACUGAGAAUCCCAUAAAGUAUCAGACUCCAGGAUGGGAAAAUGCUUAACAAGAAAGAAACAGAUGAAGACAGAUAAGGGGACCAUGAGACCCUAUGUUGUGUUUUAAAUAGUUAAUCUGUUGUGAAUUUCUAUUCUGACUUGUAAUGUUAAAAAAAGGGGAGUUAAUCUGAACUAGCUAGACUACUCACUAGACCAAAUGAUAGGCUACAGAUUUGAGUCGCUACAAUUCAAAUUCCCAAUGUACGUUUCUAUUAAAUGACAUUUUGUUCUUACUACGUGUAUUGCAUGUUUGAUGAGAUUAUAUGUGCUUAUAAAUGUUUGCAACACAUUAAUAAAUGGCUAGAAGUUUUCCACUUUCUUUUAAGGUAUAUUUUAAGUUAUUUUAAGUUAUAAAUAUUGGUAGGACUAACUCAUUAAUAAAUGGUCAGUAGGUUUCCACUAUCUUUAAAGGUAUAUCUUCCAGCAUUUAUAUAUGUUUGUAAGUCAUUUGUUAAUGGUCAGUGGAUUGCCACUUUAAGGUAUCAUUUUAGCAUUUAUAGAUGUUGAUAACUCAGUUAUAAAUGUUAAUAGGUCUGUCACUAAAAUAAGGUAUACCUUUAGCAGUUACACAUGUGGGUAAAUCAUUUAUAUAUGAUUUGAGAGUUCACUCAGAGCAUAGACAUAGUUAUAGUAUUGAGUACCCAUC